This 497-nucleotide ribosomal RNA is filed under the name uncultured bacterium. Its description in RNAcentral is "partial 16S ribosomal RNA". It matches the Rfam family "Bacterial small subunit ribosomal RNA", at positions 28 to 507 of the family's 1533-position model. The record is from RNAcentral.
GAUGAACGCUGGCGGCGUGCCUAAUACAUGCAAGUCGAGCGAGCGGACGAGAAGCUUGCUUCUCUGAUGUUAGCGGCGGACGGGUGAGUAACAUGUGGAUAACCUACCUAUAAGACUGGGAUAACUUCGGGAAACCGUAGCUAAUACCGGAUAAUAUUUUGAACCGCAUGGUUCAAAAGUGAAAGACGGUCUUGCUGUCACUUAUAGAUGGAUCCGCGCUGCAUUAGCUAGUUGGUAAGGUAACGGCUUACCAAGGCAACGAUGCAUAGCCGACCUGAGAGGGUGAUCGGCCACACUGGAACUGAGACACGGUCCAGACUCCUACGGGAGGCAGCAGUAGGGAAUCUUCCGCAAUGGGCGAAAGCCUGACGGAGCAACGCCGCGUGAGUGAUGAAGGUCUUCGGAUCGUAAAACUCUGUUAUUAGGGAAGAACAUAUGUGUAAGUAACUGUGCACAUCUUGACGGUACCUAAUCAGAAAGCCACGGCUAACUACGUG